This 446-nucleotide ribosomal RNA is filed under the name uncultured bacterium. RNAcentral describes it as "partial 16S ribosomal RNA". It matches the Rfam family "Bacterial small subunit ribosomal RNA", at positions 338 to 795 of the family's 1533-position model. The record is from RNAcentral.
CCUACGGGUGACAGCAGUCGAGAAUCAUUCACAAUGGGGGAAACCCUGAUGGUGCGACGCCGCGUGGGGGAAUGAAGGUCUUCGGAUUGUAAACCCCUGUCAUGUGGGAGCAAAUUAAAAAGAUAGUACCACAAGAGGAAGAGACGGCUAACGCUGUGCCAGCAGCCGCGGUAAUACAGAGGUCUCAAGCGUGGUCCGGAAUCACUGGGCGUAAAGCGUGCGUAGGCUGUUUCGUAAGUCGUGUGUGAAAGGCGCGGGCUCAACCCGCGGACGGCCCAUGAUACUGCGAGACUAGAGUGUGGGAGGGGGGACCGGAAUUCCAGGUGUAGCAGUGAAAUGCGUAGAUAUCGAGAGGAACACUCGUGGCGAAGGCGGGUUCCUGGACAUUAACUGACGCUGAGGCGCGAAGGCCAGGGGAGCGAAAGGGAUUAGAUACCCGGGUAGUC